This 433-nucleotide ribosomal RNA is filed under the name uncultured bacterium. Its description in RNAcentral is "partial 16S ribosomal RNA". It matches the Rfam family "Bacterial small subunit ribosomal RNA", at positions 29 to 507 of the family's 1533-position model. The record is from RNAcentral.
AACGAACGCUGGCGGCAUGCCUAACACAUGCAAGUCGAACGAACCCUUCGGAGUUAGUGGCGCACGGGUGCGUAACGCGUGGGAACCUGCCCUUAGGUUCGGAAUAACUCCCGGAAAGUUGUGCUAAUACCGGAUGAGCCCUUCGGGCGAAAGAUUUAUCGCCAUUGGAGCGGCCCGCGUUUGAUUAGCUAGUUGGUCGGGUAACGGCCCACCAAGGCGACGAUCCGUAGCUGGUCUGAGAGGAUGAUCAGCCACACUGGGACUGAGACACGGCCCAGACUCCGACGGGAGGCAGCAGUGGGGAAUCUUGCGCAAUGGGCGAAGGCCUGAAGCAGCCAUGCCGCGUGAAUGAUGAAAGUCUGAGGAUUGUAAAAUUCUUUCACCGGGGACGAUAAUGACGGUACCCGGAGAAGAAGCCCCGGCUAACUUCGUG